Molecule: ribosomal RNA, 292 nt
Filed under: uncultured bacterium
Lineage: Bacteria
Description: partial 16S ribosomal RNA
Rfam family: Bacterial small subunit ribosomal RNA
Source: RNAcentral
GUGCCAGCAGCCGCGGUAAUACGUAGGUGGCGAGCGUUGUCCGGAUUUAUUGGGUUUAAAGGGUGCGUAGGCGGCCUCUUAAGUCAGUGCUGAAAUAUCCCGGCUUAACCGGGAGGGUGGCAUUGAUACUGAGGGGCUUGAGUAAAGUCGAGGUAGGCGGAAUUGACGGUGUAGCGGUGAAAUGCUUAGAUAUCGUCAAGAACACCGAUAGUGCAGACAGCUUACUAGGCUUUAACUGACGCUGAGGCACGAAAGUGUGGGGAUCAAACAGGAUUAGAAACCCCAGUAGUCC